ACCACAUCACCGUUUAGAUGGGGCUUGACAAUUCACGUUUGGCCAAGAUGUCAGCGACAAUAUGUGUUAAAAUGUGCUGCUGUGUGUGUACGUUCCCCCUCCUUCCCUCCCUCUUCUCCUGCCUUGAUUUAGGAUGAUGCCUGGCAGAGUGUAUGUGUGUGUGGGAGGGAAAGCGAGAGAAGGAUGGAGAGGAAGAGACGGGGGAGGGAGAUUGAGAAUGCUAUGAUAGUUGUUGUUCACAUAGAGGGAGAGAUAGAUAAAGGAUGAGAAGGAGAGGGAGAAAAGAGGGGAAUAUUCUAUUGUGUAGUAUAGUAUUAUGUGUAUAAAUAGAGAGAGAGAGAGAGCGAGAGAGAAAGAAAGAUGAGUUGGGCUGGAGGGAGAGAGGCAGGCAGGCAGCGAGAGAGAAAGAGAGAUGAGGUGGGAUGGAGGGAGAGAGGCAGGCAGAGAGAGAGAGAAAGAGAGAUGAGGUGGGAUGGAGGGAGAGAGGCAGGCAGAGAGAGAGAGAAAGAGAGAUGAGGUGGGAUGGAGGGAGAGAGGCAGGCAGGCAGAGAGAGAGAGAAAGAGAGAUGAGGUGGGCUGGAGGGAG
This is a long non-coding RNA of Oncorhynchus tshawytscha (Chinook salmon), 586 nucleotides long. The record is from Ensembl. NCBI's taxonomy places the organism in Eukaryota, Metazoa, Chordata, Actinopteri, Salmoniformes, Salmonidae.